GCAGAGGUGGGGUGGGCGUGCGCGUGUGCCUCUCGUGCAAUUGUCUACGGGCUCCGAUUGUUCUGCACACACCUCACUUGAGCCUUACUAUCACAGCUGAACCCCGACUUACACGGGAGACAGAUUCCAGAAAACUCUGAGUAACCUGAAAGGGAAGGCCACCGGCCCCUGGAGAGUGCUGUGCAGAGAUGAACGUGUGUGACUCGGGUUUUAAGAGGACCGCCCGGCCGCUGUGUUGAAAGCAGACCAUGGGCAGAGGUGCGAGGCUGUAGGUGGUUCAGGCUUCACUUAGGAGGGAACCACUGGGCCACUCCAUGCCGGGGAUAGGCAGAGAAGAGCUCCGACCCGUGAAUGGUGGAGCUGGGCUACUCACUCCUUCAGCAGGAC
Herpailurus yagouaroundi (jaguarundi) is the source of this 387-nucleotide long non-coding RNA. RefSeq lists it as uncharacterized. Lineage: Eukaryota; Metazoa; Chordata; Mammalia; Carnivora; Felidae. The record is from RefSeq and is a predicted model, not a curated record. The transcript has 3 exons.